GACGAACCGUCCUAACGUUGUUCGGAAUCACUGGGCUUAAAGGGCGCGUAGGCGGCCUUGCAAGUCGGGGGUGAAAUCCCACGGCCUAACCGUGGAAGUGCCUCCGAUACUGCAAGGCUCGAGGGAGGUAGGGGCAGCGGGAACUUCCGGUGGAGCGGUGAAAUGCGUUGAUAUCGGAAGGAACGCCGGUGGCGAAAGCGCGCUGCUGGACCUCUGCUGACGCUGAGGCGCGAAAGCCAGGGGAGCAAACGGG
This 253-nucleotide ribosomal RNA is filed under the name uncultured bacterium. RNAcentral describes it as "partial 16S ribosomal RNA". It matches the Rfam family "Bacterial small subunit ribosomal RNA", at positions 524 to 776 of the family's 1533-position model. The record is from RNAcentral.